RNAcentral lists this ribosomal RNA (594 nucleotides) under uncultured bacterium. RNAcentral describes it as "bacterial SSU rRNA". It matches the Rfam family "Bacterial small subunit ribosomal RNA", at positions 62 to 647 of the family's 1533-position model. The record is from RNAcentral.
UCGAACGGCAGCACGGGAGCAAUCCUGGUGGCGAGUGGCGAACGGGUGAGUAAUAUAUCGGAACGUGCCCAGUCGUGGGGGAUAACGUAGCGAAAGCUACGCUAAUACCGCAUACGAUCUAUGGAUGAAAGCGGGGGAUCGCAAGACCUCGCGCGAUUGGAGCGGCCGAUAUCAGAUUAGGUAGUUGGUGGGGUAAAAGCCUACCAAGCCUUCGAUCUGUAGCUGGUCUGAGAGGACGACCAGCCACACUGGAACUGAGACACGGUCCAGACUCCUACGGGAGGCAGCCAGUGGGGAAUUUUGGACAAUGGGCGCAAGCCUGAUCCAGCAAUGCCGCGUGCAGGAUGAAGGCCUUCGGGUUGUAAACUGCUUUUGUACGGGAACGAAACGGUUCUCUCUAAUACAGGGGGCUAAUGACGGUACCGUAAGAAUAAGCACCGGCUAACUACGUGCCAGCAGCCGCGGUAAUACGUAGGGUGCGAGCGUUAAUCGGAAUUACUGGGCGUAAAGCGUGCGCAGGCGGUUAUGUAAGACAGAUGUGAAAUCCCCGGGGCUCAACCUGGGGACCUGCAUUUGUGACUGCAUAGCUAGAGU